AAGACAGCUGAAUGAUAGUCGGGCUGAAGACUCUACUUGACUAGCUGAGAGAGGUGCAUGGCCGUCGUCAGUUCGUACUGUGAAGCAUCCUGUUAAGUCAGGCAACGAGCCGAGACCCACGCCAACAGUUGCCAGCUCGUCCUCCGGGAUGGUGGGGACACUGUUGGGACCGCCUCUGCUAAAGAGGAGGAAGGAAUGGGCAACGGUAGGUCAGCAUGCCCCGAAUUAUCUGGGCUACACGCGGGCUACAAUGGGUGGGACAAUGGGUAUCGACACCGAAAGGUGAAGGCAAUCUCCUAAACCCAUCCUUAGUUCGGAUUGUGGGCUGCAACUCGCCCACAUGAAGCUGGAAUCUGUAGUAAUCGUGUCUCAAAAUGGCACGGUGAAUACGUCCCUGCUCCUU
Molecule: ribosomal RNA, 403 nt
Filed under: uncultured Methanomicrobiales archaeon
Lineage: Archaea; Methanobacteriati; Methanobacteriota; Methanomicrobia; Methanomicrobiales
Description: bacterial SSU rRNA
Rfam family: Archaeal small subunit ribosomal RNA
Source: RNAcentral